RNAcentral lists this long non-coding RNA (1511 nucleotides) under Canis lupus familiaris (dog). Its description in RNAcentral is "lncRNA (ENSCAFG00000051447.1)". The record is from RNAcentral. Lineage: Eukaryota; Metazoa; Chordata; Mammalia; Carnivora; Canidae.
GUUAAAGUUGGUCACAAUAAAUUUGGGGAGACAAGCCUUGAGAAUCGAGAUCCAACAUGGAAAAUAAGAUGAAUUGACUUCCCAGGCUGCAUGAGUAUUCACAUUUCUCAUUUGCAAUGGGUGCAGAAGGUUGAAGCAGCUGGAGAGCAUCUGUUCCCAGAGAAAAGGAUCCCCUCCCUCACGUCCCUCUCCUUGACACACCACACGAGGCACACACCACACACCCACUGUCAACUCAGUGGGUGUGCCCUUCCCACACCUGGCUUUCCACGUACCCUAUCAUCAACGUCCCCCACUCUCUCCCUCUCUCCCUGCGGUGUCCCCUCAUCUCUCAGCCUCUGCUCUGGGCAGGCUGGCCACUCCCAUCUCUUCACUGUAGCCUGUGCAUGGGGGCUCACCCAGGUUUACUGGGGCCUGAAUCAUGUUCAAUCUUUUAAAGAAGAUGAAUACAAAAUUACCAGUAUAAAAUUAAGUAUGAAAAUACAUAGAUGGAGAAUAUAACAAAGACUAUAAAGUUUUGAAAGCUGGAAAACAUCAAAUACAGUUUGUGUUCAUUGUUGCUUCUAAAUACUUCUCUCCCUCCUUUUUGGCUGCAGACUCGUCUCUUCAUAUCACAACGACAAUAAGUUUGAGAUACCAUUAUCCAUAGGAAACAUAGAAAGAGACUUUCGGCUUUUUUCUAGCAUGGUUGGUCAUUUAUUUUUUAUUUUUAUUUUUUUAAAAGCAAGCACUUUCUUUUUUUUUUAAGUUUUUUGUUUUUGUUUUUUUAUUUAUAGAGACACAGAAAGAGAGGCAGAGACAGAAGCAGGCUCCAUGCAGGGAGCCCGACGUAGGACUCAAUCUCAGGUCUCCAGGAUCACGCCCUGGGCUGCAGGCAGCGCUAAACCGCUGCACCACUGGGGCUGCCCAUGGUUGGUCAUUUAGAAAAGCAUAUUUAGCUUCAUGACCUGUCAUUAGUAAUGUCUUGCUAAGACAUAGCCCCAUACGUUAGAAUGCAUGAGUCAUACAGCUUCACAUGCACACAUACUCACUGUUGUUUUAUUUAUUUAUUUAAAAAAGAUUUUAUUUAUUCAUGAGAGACACAGAGAGAGAGGCAGAGACACAGGCAGAGGGAGAAGCAGGCUCCCUGUGGGGAGCCUCACGUGGGACUCGAGCCCAGGACCCCAGGAUCAUGCCCUGAGCAGAAGGCAGAUGCUCAACUGCAGAGCAACCCAGGCGUCCCCUCACUGUUGUUUUAAUCUUACAGGAUUAAAUCCACAGGAAUCUAGAUAAAUUUCAUUUUUCCACAUUUUCCAUCAAAGAAGGAAAGCAUGUAUAUAAAGGAUGUUUAUGUAGCUGUAGCUGGUAUAUUCCUGAUAGGCGAGAAUUUACAUUUUGGCUGGAAGUCAAUAAUUCAAUCCCCCACUUCACCAUUCUACACGUCUCAUGACUGGAAGCAUCUUCCAGCAGACCGGCAUUUGGCCCUGUAUGAUUCUGUUUGUUUCCAACUCGUUUCCCCUCCACUCCCCAUG